Molecule: ribosomal RNA, 766 nt
Filed under: uncultured bacterium
Lineage: Bacteria
Description: bacterial SSU rRNA
Rfam family: Bacterial small subunit ribosomal RNA
Source: RNAcentral
GGAGCUUGCUUUAUAUAACUUAGCAGCGAACGGGUGAGUAACACGUAGAUAAUCUAUCCUAUACUGGGGGAUAGCCCGAUGAAAGUUGGAUUAAUACCGCAUAUAGCUAUAUAGUUGCACGAUUAUGUAGUGAAAGAUUUAUUGGUAUAGGAGGAGUCUGCGGCACAUUAGCUAGUAGGUGAGGUAAAGGCUUACCUAGGCGACGAUGUGUAGCCGGUCUGAGAGGAUGAACGGCCACAAUGGAACUGAGACACGGUCCAUACUCCUACGGGAGGCAGCAGUGGGGAAUAUUGCACAAUGGGGGAAACCCUGAUGCAGCAACGCCGCGUGAGUGUAGAAGGUUUUCGGAUUGUAAAGCUCUGUUAGCAGGGAAGAGGAAGGACGGUACCUGCAGAGGAAGCCACGGCUAACUACGUGCCAGCAGCCGCGGUAAUACGUAGGUGGCAAGCGUUGUUCGGAAUAACUGGGCGUAAAGGAUGCGUAGGCGGUUAAACAAGUUAUAUGUUAAAUAUAUAGGCUUAACCUGUAGAAAGCAUAUAAAACUGUUUAACUAGAGUGCAGGAGAGGUAAGUGGAAUUCCUAGUGUAGCGGUGAAAUGCGUAGAGAUUAGGAAGAACACCAGUGGCGCAGGCGACUUACUGGACUGUAACUGACGCUGAGGCAUGAGAGCAUGGGGAGCAAACAGGAUUAGAUACCCUGGUAGUCCAUGCUGUAAACGAUGGGUACUAGGUGUGGGUUGUGAAUAACAAUUCGUGCCGUCGCAAAC